This 423-nucleotide ribosomal RNA is filed under the name uncultured bacterium. Its description in RNAcentral is "bacterial SSU rRNA". It matches the Rfam family "Bacterial small subunit ribosomal RNA", at positions 207 to 622 of the family's 1533-position model. The record is from RNAcentral.
AAGACCUUGCGCUUUUGGAGCGGCCGAUGCCUGAUUAGCUUGUUGGUAAGGUAAAAGCUUACCAAGGCUUCGAUCAGUAGCUGGUCUGAGAGGACGACCAGCCACACUGGGACUGAGACACGGCCCAGACUCCUACGGGAGGCAGCAGUGGGGAAUUUUGGACAAUGGGGGCAACCCUGAUCCAGCCAUGCCGCGUGAGUGAAGAAGGCCUUCGAGUUGUAAAGCUCUUUCAGCCGGAACGAAACGGUUACGGUUAAUACCCGUGAUUACUGACGGUACCGGAAGAAGAAGCACCGGCUAACUACGUGCCAGCAGCCGCGGUAAUACGUAGGGUGCGAGCGUUAAUCGGAAUUACUGGGCGUAAAGCGUGCGCAGGUGGUUUUGUAAGUCAGAUGUGAAAGCCCCGGGCUCAACCUGGGAACU